GCGACGCCGCGUGCGGGAUGAAGGCCUUCGGGUUGUAAACCGCUUUCAGUAGGGAAGAAGCGAAAGUGACGGUAUCUACAAAAGAAGCACCGGCUAACUAUGUGCCAGCAGCCGCGGUAAUACAUAGGGUGCAAGCGUUGUCCGGAAUUAUUGGGCGUAAAGAGCUCGUAGGUCGUUUGUUACGUCGGAUGUGAAAACCUGAGGCUCAACCUCAGGCCUGCAUUCGAUACGGGCAAACUAGAGUUUGGUAGGGGAGACUGGAAUUCCUGGUGUAGCGGUGGAAUGCGCAGAUAUCAGGAGGAACACCAAUGGCGAAGGCAGGUCUCUGGGCCAAUACUGACACUGAGGAGCGAAAGUCUGGGGAGCGAACAGGAUUAGAUACCCUGGUAGUCCAGACCGUAAACGGUGGGCACUAGUUGUGGGAACCUUCCACGGUUUCUGCGACGCAGCUAACGCAUUAAGUGCCCCGCCUGGGGAGUACGAUCGCAAGAUUA
RNAcentral lists this ribosomal RNA (494 nucleotides) under uncultured Actinomycetes bacterium. RNAcentral's name for it is "bacterial SSU rRNA". It matches the Rfam family "Bacterial small subunit ribosomal RNA", at positions 391 to 896 of the family's 1533-position model. Lineage: Bacteria; Bacillati; Actinomycetota; Actinomycetes. The record is from RNAcentral.